Molecule: unclassified non-coding RNA, 1416 nt
Filed under: uncultured Neocallimastigales
Lineage: Eukaryota; Fungi; Neocallimastigomycota; Neocallimastigomycetes; Neocallimastigales
Description: partial contains small subunit ribosomal RNA, internal transcribed spacer 1, 5.8S ribosomal RNA, internal transcribed spacer 2, and large subunit ribosomal RNA
Rfam family: Eukaryotic large subunit ribosomal RNA (bases 660-1416)
Source: RNAcentral
UUUCCGUAGGUGAACCUGCGGAAGGAUCAUUAAAAAAUUGGACUCCAUUGGUGAGUUCAUUAAUAAUCCCUACCCUUUGUGAAUUUGUUUGUUUGAAUAAUUUUUUUUCCAAAAAAAUUAUUGAAUGUCUUUCCCUGUUUUGGUGGAGCUUGUAAAGUGAAACCAGGCAGGGGAAUGGCAAACAAUAAUUAUUUUUGAAAAAAGACCUUUUUUUAAAAUUAAACUUUUUGUAUUCAUUUGUCUAAAAUUAUUUUUAUAAUAUAAAAACAACUUUUGACAAUGGAUCUCUUGGUUCUCGCAACGAUGAAGAACGCAGCAAAAUGCGAUAAGUAGUGUGAAUUGCAGAAUACGUGAAUCAUCGAAUCUUCGAACGCAUAUUGCACUUUUUUAGUUUACUAAAAAAGUAUGUCUGUUUGAGUAUCAGUAAAGUAUUCUCAUAAAAAACAUUGUUUUUUUAUGGUUAUGAGUGUUUUACAACGAUAACAAGUUGUUUCACUUUAAAUUCUUUGUUAUCAAAAAAAUCAUUAAAAGCUAAUUUUAAAGAUUUUUUAAAAUUGGAUAAAAUUUUCCCGUAAAAAGGAAUAACCUAAGCAAUUUUAAAAAAUUAAAAUUGGUUUGAUUUUUUUUGAAACCCAAAGGAAAAAAAAACGAAAUUAACUUGAUCUCAAAUCAGAUAAGAGUACCCGCUGAACUUAAGCAUAUCAAUAAGCGGAGGAAAAGAAACUAACUAGGAUUCCCUCAGUAACGGCGAGUGAAGCGGGAAGAGCUCAAAUUUGAAAUCUUCAAGGUUUUACCUUGACGAAUUGUAGUUUAAAGAAGUGUUUUCUGUUGGAGUUUUGGUAAAAGUUCUUUGGAAAAGGACAUCAUAGAGGGUGAGAAUCCCGUAUUUGACCAUUAUCUCCAGCUUUGUGAUACACUUUCAAAGAGUCGGAUUGUUUGGGAAUGCAGUCCAAAAUGGGUGGUAAAUUUCAUCUAAAGCUAAAUACUGGCGAGAGACCGAUAGCGAACAAGUACCGUGAGGGAAAGAUGAAAAGAACUUUGAAAAGAGAGUUAAACAGUACGUGAAAUUGUCAAAAGGGAAGCGUUUGACACCAGUGUUGUUUUCUCGAAAAUCAAUUAAAAAAGGCCGGAUUUUGUGUUGUAUUGACUUUAUCAGCUUUCUGCACUUUUUUCUUGUCUUUUUUAAUGCACUUUUCGUUUAACAAGUCAACAUCAAUUUCUUUUGUUGUAAAAGGGUAUUGGAAGGUGGCUUUCUUUUCGGAGAAAGUGUUUAUAGCCUUUGGCCUCUGCAAUCGGAGAGAUUGAGGUCUGCAGCGUAGAUCCUUCGGGGUUAGAUACAUUUGUGCUAAGUUAUAGCCUUUCAUAGACAACUUGUUGACUAUGAUCAGUCAUGUAGCUUACUCGCUUAUGCUAUUU